UUUUUCCUUGGCCCAGCUGUCCCAAUUUGCCCGAGGCAACGUGUUCAGUGAUCAGGACAUUCCACAGCAGCUCCAGGAGCAGGACACAUUCAGGCAGAGAGCCAGAAGGAUCCUUCCCCUCCUAACCCAGACUUGCAGAAGAGACUGGGCAAGCAGCUCCUUACUCCCAGACCUCUCUCUGCUGUCAGCCAGCUCUCCUCUAGGCCCAGGCACUUGACGGUGUCGAACAUCCACAGGCCCAGGCGCUAUAGCUUUAUUCUGACUCCGCUUUCAUCCCUGGAACUAUACACUCACUGUCGCUGUGUAGAGGGCACCCCAAUGGGGACAUGUUUGAGAUGGCACACCACCCAACUCUGGAGUAGCUGCUGUGGCUGUUCACAUCAACAUGCAGAACACCAGGGAGUUCAACCAGCUCAAAUACAGAGUGUUACGUCCCCAGACGUAAGCAGGGUCCCCGUCCCAAGGGCCAGGGCAGCCCAGGUUGACCUGAGGUCCAGACAGCCCUCAGCCCGGGAGAGGAGAAGGCCUGCCAGAAGGAGAGACUUUGAGGAUGAGAAGGGCCUGUUGCUUCAAUGUUUCCAUUCUGUGGCCCAGAACAUGGUGACUGCGGGAUGA
Long non-coding RNA from Oncorhynchus kisutch (coho salmon), 615 nucleotides. The record is from Ensembl. NCBI's taxonomy places the organism in Eukaryota, Metazoa, Chordata, Actinopteri, Salmoniformes, Salmonidae.